Molecule: long non-coding RNA, 790 nt
Organism: Xiphias gladius (swordfish)
Lineage: Eukaryota; Metazoa; Chordata; Actinopteri; Istiophoriformes; Xiphiidae
Exons: 3
Source: RefSeq, a predicted model, not a curated record
GUCGAGCAGAGAGAGCUGAUCAGUGACUGUGGACGCACCGGGACGCCCCAAAUGUCCCCCGUGGACUUCCGGCCGCGGCCGAAGCGCUCGGAUCCCGAACUCCAGAGACACUGAAGGAUACCCACCGUGGGUGUGAAUGGAGAGUCCGUGGUUCCCUGGCGGAGGCCGUCCCAGUUGAAGCCCUCAAACCACCUGAAGGACAGGGACAUGCUGCCGUGACUACGGAAAGCCCUCAGACCUCUCUGAAGGAUUGUCCCUGGAGCCAGCCACACAAACAGAAUUUAAAGAAGUUAACCGGGAAAAAUCCGCCCUCCGUUUUGCUUUACCUGGUAAGUGAAGGGGGCACUGACAACCUGCAGAGUCGCUUGAUGAGGUUAGCGGCACUCUUGGUGAUCUUUUUAGGAAACUCGAUCAUGUCGAUGCCUCUCAGGAUGAUGUUAUAGGUCUUCAUGGGGUCAGAGCCAGAAAAGGGAGGGCUGGAGACAGAGGGUGGAAACCAAGAGCUUUAACAGGUUUAAGUAUUCAACCAGGACCCGAACGGAGCUAGUUCAGUUGCUAACUUCAGACAUAAUGGAGGAUCAAGCCCGACUGACUAGGAAAUAAAUGAAUGACUGGAUGGAUAAAAUAGUUACUACAAAGUCAUCAAGGAUGAAAUAUUCAGUCACUGACGGCCAACGUGGCUGGGAGCGCAGAGGUAUUGUGUCACAACCGCAUGGGCAGGUUGGGUAACCUCACAGCGUCCGGAAGCGACCCUGAGUCAGCCUCCCGUUCGCAGCGCACACACACCUGG